GGGGAAUAUUGGACAAUGGGCGCAAGCCUGAUGCAGCCAUGCCGCGUGUGUGAAGAAGGCCUUCGGGUUGUAAAGCACUUUCAGUGGGGAGGAAGGNCAGUAGGUUAAUACCNUGUUGNAUUGACGUUACCCACAGAANAAGCACCGGCUAACUCCGUGCCAGCAGCCGCGGUAAUACGGAGGGUGCAAGCGUUAAUCGGAAUUACUGGGCGUAAAGCGCGCGUAGGUGGUUUGUUAAGUCGGAUGUGAAAUCCCCGGGCUCAACCUGGGAACUGCAUUUAAAACUGGCAAGCUAGAGUAUGGUAGAGGGGGGUGGAAUUCCAGGUGUAGCGGUGAAAUGCGUAGAGAUCUGGAGGAAUACCGGUGGCGAAGGCGGCCCCCUGGACAAAUACUGACGCUCAGGUGCGAAAGCGUGG
RNAcentral lists this ribosomal RNA (416 nucleotides) under gamma proteobacterium SCGC AAA023-C09. RNAcentral's name for it is "bacterial SSU rRNA". It matches the Rfam family "Bacterial small subunit ribosomal RNA", at positions 356 to 764 of the family's 1533-position model. The record is from RNAcentral. Lineage: Bacteria; Pseudomonadati; Pseudomonadota; Gammaproteobacteria.